Gavialis gangeticus (Gharial) is the source of this 2806-nucleotide long non-coding RNA. RefSeq lists it as uncharacterized. The transcript is spliced from 3 exons. Lineage: Eukaryota; Metazoa; Chordata; Crocodylia; Gavialidae. The record is from RefSeq and is a predicted model, not a curated record.
CUUUCUCUCUAGGUUUCUUAUGAUGUUAUUUUUAAACCCUCAUCAAGUUAAAAUAUAGCAAAUCAUAUGAGGAACCUUCUUCUCCUGGAGAAAGUACAGAAGGAAUGGAUUCUACUCCAAAUAUGCUAUGUAUCAAAUUAUGAAAGGUUUUAAUCUAUUAUUUGAAAUUUCCCCACAAGAUGGCAGUAUUAGAAAUAAGUUGAAUAUAAAAAAUAUAAAAUUCCAGUUUGUUCAGGAUUGGCUAAACAAUGCAUUUCUUACUCAAAGCUUAAUCAGGUAUUGAUUUCAGUGGACAUUUUGCUUGCAAAAACAUUGCCAGGGACAGAAGGGCUUAGCUCCAUAAAUUCUAACAAUUGAAUUAUUAUUUUAAAAUAUAUAGUAAUCAUUAUCUAAAUUAUAACAAAGUGACUUUUUUUUAACAAAGAUUAAUGCAGAUAUAUACAAGAACAGAGUUGGAAGGUCUCUCUGAGGGCCAUCAAGUUUAAUCUCCUCUUCAAAACUCCAUCUCAAAAGCAGUUAGUUUUUUGCUGUACUACUUACUUGAACAUUGUUCAAUACAGUCAGCAUUAACACAUGCGAUACAUUUAAAGCAAAAAAAAUUAGAUUGUGCUAUGACCAGGUUUGGAGUAACAGUUAUGGCAGACCAGCUAGAAUGAACAGAACGAAGAUCUUGUCCAACUUCAUGAAAUAUUUUUAAGAAGAUCUUCAGUGAUCUCAAAGUUGAAAUAAUUGUAUGAAGAACUUCUGGACAUCAAGGCAAGUAUAACCUAGUAAUGUUAUUUUAGACAAAUUAGUCAUUAAAGUUUAUGUCUUGCUUCUGCAGACUUAAGGAAUAACUGUAACAAGAUAAUUUAGCAUUUUAUUUUAAAAGGAAAAUACAUGCUUCCAACACCAAUUGAUAGCCUAUUUUAUUUUUAUGGAGUGUUCAGGGUUAAAGAGUAUCAUUGAUUCCUGUGGCCUUAUAGGAUUGUUAUCAGAAUAGCGCAAUGUACAAACUAUUGGUUCUCAACACUUGCCAGACCUCACUUCCUUUUUCAAACGGGAACCACCAAGAACCCCCUCCUACCUAGCUAAGAUGCAGCCAAGACUCCCUUUCUCAUUUAAUAUAGUAGAACAAUGUAUUAACAAAAUACCAGUAAUAUACUUUCAGAUAAACCUGCUGCUGUAAACAUGCAUGUAGCUGCACAGUAAAUUUAAGGUUAGUCACAGAACAUGUCCUUGGCUCCCAAGAAGAGUCAGAAACUGUUUGACCUUAUUAGUAAGUUAAUAGAAUUAGCUAAUUUGUCUACCUUGGAUAUUGGAAGUGUUCUGCUUCAUUGUUUCAAUACUUCUAAUUAAAAAUCGUCUCUUAUUAAAACACUCCGGUGAGCAUUUUAUAGUGCUCUAUGCAGGGAGCUGUGCUUGUAAAUGAGCUUCGGUUAUAAAAGAACUUAAGGUCCUGAUCUGAAGCUCAUUAGCAGUAAAAAAAGUCCCAACUGCCUUCACUGGCUUUUAAAAUAUGCCUUAGUGAAACAAGUACUAGGACCUCAAGAGCAAGAGGAGAGCAUAACAGAGAUUGAGAUGAACUGAAUGCUUCUAGUGCUUUCUAUUGAUGUGACAAUUUUUAACAAGGAUCUCUGAAAUCUUCUAGUCUGGUUCUCCAUCUGGCUUGAAUGUAUAUGAAUAUUACAAAAAUAGGGAGUGUGCUCUCCAAGCUAAUGAAAGAAUGUAAAGGUUUUACAGACAGAGGAAAAAGUGCAAAAACUCAAAAGUAAGCUGUUAAACUGGGUUAUGGAACAUUUAUAAUUAAAUGUAUAAAUGAAUGACACAUACCAAUGUAACACACACAAGCAGAUACUUACUCACUUGGAUGUGUGUAUUUUCCCUAAAAAUGAAACAGAAAUGGGAGAAAGGAAAGCCUUCAAGUUAACUAAGCAACCUAACAGCCACAGCAAGGGCCAAAAGUUUCUCUUUUUGGACCACAACAUUAAGCAAGCUCCAAAGUAACUUUUUUUUUUUUAAUAUACAUUCUAAAUAGAUUGGAAAAGAAAGUCUAUAAAGUUGCAGUCAAAUUUUAUGAUGCCAUUGGGAUAUAAGUUUUACACUUACUCUACAUAACAUUUCAGCUUGAAGACUUCAAUACUAUCCAGAAGAUUCUGAUAACAUCCUAAACCAGGAGUGUGGAGUUUGUAUGGGCUGUGUCAUCAAAGGGUGUAAGAUGCACAGAACAAAUCUAUUGUUUGGUUUAUAUGAAAAGUAUCUUAAAAACAGCCUAGUUUAUGGACAAGCCAUGAAAUUAAACAGCUAACCAGGGACAUGGACUUAUAAAACAGAUGAUGCAUGGUAACUGCCUGCCCCAGAACCCAGUGCUGAUCACUACUCUGGGGAUGCAACUCAAAUUGGCUUGUAGAUGACAGGCAGCCAAAUGUAUCUGGGUUAUCAACUAAAAACCAUUCAGAACCAAGAAACAAGCAGAUUGAAAAAAGUUGCUUCCUGAAGUUUUUCUUCAUGCCACUGUCUUCAGAAUGAGUUGGAGAGCCACUGACCUAGAAAUUAAAUUUUCACAAAAGCUGCACAGGUUUAGUUUUUUUAAAGAUCAUUUUGGUUAAACCAAUGCAAACAGUCACCUGGUCUUUCUUAAUUUGAUGAAUCUUUGCCUAUAAUCAUCUUUGUUUACUUUACCAAGGAGCUGGCUUACAUUUGCUGUAAAACCAGGUUUAAAUUACCAGUAAGGAAUUUGCACCAGCCCAUACUCAAUUUAAAGAGACAGAAGUAGGCAGAUUAGGCUGCACAGCAGCCUAGGAGUGGCAAGGGUCUAGAAUGAGGG